CGGCGUGCCUAACACAUGCAAGUCGAACGAACCGAAUUGGAGCUUGCUCUAAUGAGGUUAGUGGCGGACGGGUGAGUAACGCGUGAAGUAACCUGCCUUUAAGGAGGGGGAUAACAUUCUGAAAAAGAAUGCUAAUACCGCAUGACAUAUGAUUGUCGCAUGGCAGACAUAUCAAAGAUUUAUCGCUUGAAGAUGGACUCGCGUCCGAUUAGUUAGUUGGUGAGGUAACGGCCCACCAAGACCGCGAUCGGUAGCCGGACUGAGAGGUUGAACGGCCACAUUGGGACUGAGACACGGCCCAGACUCCUACGGGAGGCAGCAGUGGGGGAUAUUGCGCAAUGGGGGCAACCCUGACGCAGCAACGCCGCGUGAAGGAUGAAGGUUUUCGGAUUGUAAACUUCUUUUAUUAAGGACGAAAAAUGACGGUACUUAAUGAAUAAGCUCCGGCUAACUACGUG
RNAcentral lists this ribosomal RNA (458 nucleotides) under uncultured bacterium. RNAcentral describes it as "bacterial SSU rRNA". It matches the Rfam family "Bacterial small subunit ribosomal RNA", at positions 40 to 507 of the family's 1533-position model. The record is from RNAcentral.